Molecule: ribosomal RNA, 253 nt
Filed under: uncultured bacterium
Lineage: Bacteria
Description: partial 16S ribosomal RNA
Rfam family: Bacterial small subunit ribosomal RNA
Source: RNAcentral
UACGAAGGGGGCUAGCGUUGUUCGGAAUUACUGGGCGUAAAGCGCACGUAGGCGGAUUGUUAAGUCGGGGGUGAAAUCCUGGAGCUCAACUCCAGAACUGCCUUCGAUACUGGCGAUCUCGAGUUCGGGAGAGGUGAGUGGAACUGCGAGUGUAGAGGUGAAAUUCGUAGAUAUUCGCAAGAACACCAGUGGCGAAGGCGGCUCGCUGGCCCGAUACUGACGCUGAGGUGCGAAAGCGUGGGGAGCAAACAGG